Clarias gariepinus (North African catfish) is the source of this 2614-nucleotide long non-coding RNA. RefSeq lists it as uncharacterized. The transcript has 4 exons. NCBI's taxonomy places the organism in Eukaryota, Metazoa, Chordata, Actinopteri, Siluriformes, Clariidae. The record is from RefSeq and is a predicted model, not a curated record.
AACAGGGUGGGGUAACAUUUCACUCAGUCUGUUUGCAGUUGACCUGGAUGUCUUGUUCUUUAACCUGCUUAUUUCAUUGCUUAACUUGGGUGGAUAAAUAAAAACACUCAGAACUUUUGAGACUCGUACCUGGAUGUUUUUCGUUCGCAGUUUGGAGAGCUAGAUAACCAGUAUAUAACUUAAGAAGCCUUGAGAAUUGGACAAUGGCUAACACAAAUGACAAUAACCCACUGUCAAGUGAGAACUUGUUAACAUGCCGAGUCGAGCGCUGUAACAACGUUGGCGAUUGCGUGAUUCAGAAUGGAUCGUACGUUUGUGACUGUAUGCUGGGCUACUUAGGAGACUCAUGCCAAGGAACGGUCAAUAAUGGAAUAGCCGCCCCACUCACUCUUGGAGUCUUGGCUGUCAUCGUCAGCUUCAUUAUCCUGGCGUUUCUUCUAGCAUUUAGCCGGCAAAAGAAGAGGGAACGUUUAUGGGAAAAAACCGAUGAGGAAAGGGAGGCGCUGAAAAGGAAUGGAGAUGUUUCGCAGGCAUAAAUACUGUAGUAAACUGGUGACAGGAUCAGGGGCACGCAAGGCUCAGCUAUACCUGUGGGGACCAAAGGCCAGCCCGUCUGGUCCGAUCCCACAGAAAAGCCGUCAGUGCUGGCUAUGAGAGAAAGGUAUCAGAACACUCAGUGCAUCACACCUUGCAGAUAUUAAUCUGAUCAAUCAUGGGAUGUGCUUGGCAAACAAGUCUGAUCCAUAGAGGCUCCAACUUGGAGCACGUACAAUGGAUCUGUUGCUAACAGCCUGAUGCAGACACCACAGCACACCUUCAGUAGAAUUGUGGAGUCAUGCCUCGAGGGGUCACAGCUGUUUUGGGGGUGCAUGGUUUUAAUAUUUUGGUUGAUCAGUGUAUCUUCUCCUUAAUAAAACAUCCAUCUGGGCAACUAGGAAUAAACAGAAUGUGAUUAGAUAUUGAAAUCACACAUGGGGACACACUUAUUGCCAUAUGAUAAUAUUGUUUUAAUAAUGUGUAGAUCUCAUUGUAAUAGCCUAAUAUCCUUUUUGUUUGACUUUUUUUUUUUUAUUGUAAUUGGCAGUAAAGACAGAUGGAGAUCCUUCCCAUGUGGAGAGCGUGACGAAUUAUGCUCUUUUGGACUUGCUGGGAUUGACCUCUCAGUUGCUUAAUGCAUGAAUGAUUAGUGAUUUUGCAGAGUUAAAUAAUGAUAUAAGAUCUAAAUCCUAAUUACUUGUCACAAGACACCUUUAUGAGAUAUCUUAUGUUUUUAUAAUAUUUAAAAAUAUUUUACCUAAUUGCAAACCGUGAAAACAGUUGACCUGGUGUUAAAUUUUUGGUUGCAAAUCUUAAAUUGUACAAUAUAAACGUUUUUGUUUAUUUGAUUUUCUAUAUUGUUAAAUGCUUUGUUUUUGUAAACAUUAAAUAUUAUCACAUCAUUUUUAAAAAGGAUUUUUAAUAUCCACUAUAGUGUUUAUUUUCCCUAAUACCCACCUAAGUGGGUGCUUUCAUUUUCUAUUUAUUCAGCUUAUUAGAAAAAAAAAUAAGUAAAAAGUUUUGUUGCGUGUAAAUAUUUGAGCAACUUUUUCCAAUACUUUGGGACUACAAACAUAUGUUUAAGGCUUUCUUUCCAAUACAAUAAGAAACAUCUUUUAAAAUAAGACCGCCUUUAGAUACUUUAAGGGGAAAAAAUGGUAGGGAUUUUAAGCUGUCAUUUUCCUGAAAAUGUUCAAUGUUCAAUAGGACCUGCUUCCUGAUCUCAUUUUUCAGUUUUGUUCUGUUUUUGUCACCAAAGGAAACAAAGUUGUUUUUUGUACGUACAUAUGCAGUAUUUCAACUUCUGCAAAAAUGAAUGCUUAUCACCAUUGUUUGGUUGGAAGCAGGACUUUACAGCGUAGAGAUGAUGGGUGUCCUGUUACUUUGUGCUCCUUGGAGGCUCCAGUUGCUAAAUGCGAAAGACGGUCUUUAUCCAUUUUGCCCAAUUUUUUUUUUUUGCUCCAUAUUUUUUUUCAAAAACAUUUUCUCAAUUAAAAAGCAUUUUGAAAUAUGUAUCUUGGGUUGAAAACCCAAAUGUUAAAUUGUGCACUCUCAACAAUCUAAGGCAUUAAGACAUUGCCAGUGUGGGUCCUACAGUAUUUGCACGAAAUGUCAAGUAUUUAAAAAAUGUGUUUUGCUUGUCUUUAUGUAGCUUCAAAUCUGACUGGUUAGUUUAAACCAUGCUGCUCUUUUUAUUGGUUUAUAGAAUUUCCCACUCUGUAUUGGGUGGUUUGAGCAGCUCUUGAAUUAUGUAUUUGAGGCAAAUUAACACGUUUUAGUGCAUUUGAGUUUUAUAAGGAGAAAAAUUUAAAUAUUCGAAUUAGAUGGUCUACCGCGUUCACAUUUGUUUUCUGCACAUACAAACACAGUCAAAAUCUGGCUAUGGGAAUAAAUUGUUGACAGCAUUUCAUGUUUGAAAUUUCAAGUUUGCCUUGUUAUAUUCACUACCUUGAUUUGCUUUUAAUUAAGAAACAAUUUUAACAUUGUCAAAUUGCUGUGAUAUAAAAUGAGUCUAACUCUUUAAACAUGCUAUUAUUAAAUAAAUAAAAUACAAAAAAUAAACCUCAUGUAUAAUUUU